AUUGAACGCUGGCGGCAUGCCUUACACAUGCAAGUCGAAUGGCAGCACGGGAGCAAUCUUGGUGGCGAGUGGCGAACGGGUGAGUAAAGUAUCGGAACGUGCCCAGUCGUGGGGGAUAACGUAGCGAAAGUUACGCUAAUACCGCAUACGAUCUAUGGAUGAAAGCGGGGGAUCGCAAGACCUCGCGCGAUUGGAGCGGCCGAUAUCAGAUUAGGUAGUUGGUGGGGUAAAGGCUCACCAAGCAGACGAUCUGUAGCUGGUCUGAGAGGACGACCAGCCACAGUGGGACGGAGACACGGACCAGACUCCUACGGGAGGCAGCAGUGGGGAAUUUUGGAAAAUGGGCGAAAGCCUGAUCCAGCCAGGCCGCGUGCAGGAUGAAGGGCUUCGGGUUGUAAACUGCUUUUGUACGGAACGAAAAGGUUUGGCCUAAUAAGCUGAGCUCAUGACGGUACCGUAAGAAUAAGCACCGGCUAACUACGUGCCAGCCGCCGCCGUAA
Molecule: ribosomal RNA, 500 nt
Filed under: uncultured bacterium
Lineage: Bacteria
Description: partial 16S ribosomal RNA
Rfam family: Bacterial small subunit ribosomal RNA
Source: RNAcentral